This 845-nucleotide long non-coding RNA is filed under the name Parus major (Great Tit). RNAcentral's name for it is "lncRNA (ENSPMJG00000019639.1)". Lineage: Eukaryota; Metazoa; Chordata; Aves; Passeriformes; Paridae. The record is from RNAcentral.
CAGGGAUGCAUAUAGACAUGCUUCUGAAGGCAAGGGGGAAAUAGCUGUGUUGUUCAUUCCUCAACAUGUGCAUAAAAUACAGCAAAUUCCAGGCUCUAAUUAUGUAGAUGGCUUUAUUAGCUAAGGUGACAUGUCACAACUCUUUAUCUCCACCUAGACUUUGGGCUUACUCUUUUGCUAUCUUUUUUACAGGAAUACUGAGAGAGGAAAAAUUGCAGUUAUACAGUCAACAGUGGUGAAGCUCUAAACCACCCAAGAACUUGUUACUGCAUUACAGACCUACCAUGAACGCGCUGUUCCAGCUCUGUGGACCCAAAGGCCACCUGAAGACAGCAGCUUCAGAUGUUCACAACUCCCUGCCUUCAUUCUCCUCUAGACAUCUCUCUGGACUGAUGCAUUCAGAGCAAACCCAUUGGCUGGAAGCAAAAAAGACAGUUCAGUUACACCCCAGAUUUGCAUCACUUCAAAGACGCUGAGGAUGAAGGAAGAGUCUGUAUCUGCACCCUUCACCCAGCCGAGGGGAGAUAAGAGACAAAAAGCCUGGGAUGCUCCGUGAGAUCGUGUUCUCCCUCUUCCAGCAUCAAGCCUUUGCAGUGCACACGGACACCAGGCCAGGAGCUAAGGGUGCAAGGCAUUUCUGCUUUAGGUGGAGAAGUAUUUGCGCCUUUUUUCAUGUUUUAAUCAAAUUGCAGACGUCUCAGCUGACAGACACUCCCCCUUUCGUGAGCCUCUUUCAACAGAGUCCAUUUCCUUGGAAAUCAAUCUCAAAAGAAAGGCUGGACGGUAGGCUGCAAUUUGUCGAAACUGCAUAAAGAAACCGAAGGAAGCAAGGACUGGUAUUCCAG